Mastomys coucha (southern multimammate mouse) is the source of this 261-nucleotide long non-coding RNA. RefSeq lists it as uncharacterized. The transcript is spliced from 2 exons. The record is from RefSeq and is a predicted model, not a curated record. Lineage: Eukaryota; Metazoa; Chordata; Mammalia; Rodentia; Muridae.
CCUGGUUGUUGGCUUUACAAUGAAGGAUAGAGAAGUGAGGCUGGGAAAGGCUCUGCUUUGCGGGAGCUCCAGAUGCAUUCUGUCAGAAUAAAGGGCUAGUGUGAGACUUCAUCUUUAAUAUCUGAUUUACAACAGCAUGUGAUUGAAUUUAGAGAUUUUUCUACUUAAACAAUUAUUUUAAAAGUUGCCCUUCUACAGGUUCUAUAACCAAACAGCACUACCAGCUGGAUUCCAAUAAAGCUCAUAGACUACAGCUUGUGA